UACGAGUGCUUCAAGCGUUAUCCGGAAUCAUUGGGCGUAAAGGGUGUGUAGGCGGCGAUAUUAGUCUUGCGUUAAAUCUACCGGCUCAACCGGUAGGCUGCGUGGGAAACGGUAUUGCUUAGAGGGCGGAAGAGGUCUCUGGAACUCAUGGUGUAGCGGUGAAAUGCGUUGAUAUCAUGGGGAACACCAAAAGCGAAGGCAAGAGACUGGUCCGUUCCUGACGCUGAAACACGAAAGCGUGGGUCGCGAAUGGG
Molecule: ribosomal RNA, 254 nt
Filed under: uncultured bacterium
Lineage: Bacteria
Description: partial 16S ribosomal RNA
Rfam family: Bacterial small subunit ribosomal RNA
Source: RNAcentral